Gossypium raimondii (Peruvian cotton) is the source of this 73-nucleotide transfer RNA. It matches the Rfam family "tRNA". From Rfam's summary of the family: Transfer RNA (tRNA) molecules are approximately 80 nucleotides in length. Their secondary structure includes four short double-helical elements and three loops (D, anti-codon, and T loops). NCBI's taxonomy places the organism in Eukaryota, Viridiplantae, Streptophyta, Magnoliopsida, Malvales, Malvaceae. The record is from Rfam.
GUUGUCUUAGCUUAGUUGGUAGAGCGUAUGGCUUUUAACUAUGUGGUUGUAGGUUUGAUUCCCGCAAACAACA